RNAcentral lists this ribosomal RNA (429 nucleotides) under Chloroflexota bacterium. RNAcentral's name for it is "Chloroflexi bacterium partial 16S ribosomal RNA". It matches the Rfam family "Bacterial small subunit ribosomal RNA", at positions 355 to 776 of the family's 1533-position model. Lineage: Bacteria; Bacillati; Chloroflexota. The record is from RNAcentral.
UGGGGAAUAUUGCACAAUGGGCGCAAGCCUGAUGCAGCCAUGCCGCGUGUAUGAAGAAGGCCUUCGGGUUGUAAAGUACUUUCAGCGGGGAGGAAGGGAGUAAAGUUAAUACCUUUGCUCAUUGACGUUACCCGCAGAAGAAGCACCGGCUAACUCCGUGCCAGCAGCCGCGGUAAUACGGAGGGUGCAAGCGUUAAUCGGAAUUACUGGGCGUAAAGCGCACGCAGGCGGUUGAUUGAGUCAGAUGUGAAAUCCCCGGGCUUAACCCGGGAAUUGCAUCUGAUACUGAUCAGCUAGAGUCUUGUAGAGGGGGGUAGAAUUCCAUGUCUAGCGGUGAAAUGCGUAGAGAUGUGGAGGAAUACCGGUGGCUAAGGCGGCCCCCUGGACAAAGACUAACGCUCAGGUGCGAAAGCGUGGGGAGCAAACAGG